Nomia melanderi (Alkali bee) is the source of this 919-nucleotide long non-coding RNA. RefSeq lists it as uncharacterized. Lineage: Eukaryota; Metazoa; Arthropoda; Insecta; Hymenoptera; Halictidae. The record is from RefSeq and is a predicted model, not a curated record.
GCCACGCGUCGAGCGAAUGCGAAGGAUCGGUUUCUAAUCGAGGUUAAUUGUUCGAUUAUUUCUCGCUACUUAUCGUCUCCUACUCGUUUGUGUUCGCCGAAACGCGCUACGUGAUUCUAUUUUCUUUCGACUUCCGAAGAGCUCGACGCGUCGCCGUUCAACGAAAGGGAAACGGCGCACCUCGCGACCAUAUCCGUCCGACUUAAGAGCUACUUACGUUUAAAUCGCGGUGGAUAAUGGUUAGUAGCACCAGCGGCAAUGGCGGCAGGAUCUGUAGCAGUAACAGGGAUUGCGGCGGGAGCAUACUUGAUGUCGUUCGAGUAUACCGUCGACGUCAUCUAGUAGAGAUCUCGUUGGUACGGAAGCGGUUCGCUGUCGAAGCAUUGACUGACCUAUUCUCGUGGCCACAAAUAACUAACUAAGAACAGAGUUAAACGCAGCUUCUAAAGCUUCUCAAAAUCAUUUCUAACGCGACUGUCGAUUGCGGGAGUGCACCCUGCGUUUGUAGAUAUUUAUUAUUAUCUAACGAACUUACGGCUUCCUGCGUAAAGAGUCAUGAAACAAGAAAAAGUCAGAGAUACGUUAGACAGAUUGUCGGAAAGUCGUUCAAGAAUUUUUAGUGGAACCACCGUGCACUCGAUCACCACUAUUGUUUUCAGAUAUACCCACGACUGUAUGCACGUAAUCGAAUCCAAUUCAAUAGAUUCUAAAUACCAACAAUAAAUAAGCUAAAAUAACACUGCCCAAAUAAUGCUUUUUUACGUAUUCCAACCUUCGGUAGACGUUUCUUGUAGGUUUUCAUAUUCUAAAUCUGACAAUUGAUUAUCCCUAUCAUCCUCAGUUUUUGGGAAAUUGAGAAUUUCGUAUCAAAAUACAAACUUCUGAAUUUAAAAAUUAUUUAAAAGUCGAUUAUAAAUGU